UACCGAGUUAGGGUCUUCCAGGCCCGACCUCCCAACCCUUUGUUGACUAUACCAUGUUGCUUUGGUGGGCCCGCCUUUAGGGGCUCCCGGGGACAUUUAUGCCCCUGGUCAGUGCCCGCCAGUAGCCUUCUAAAAUUCUUUUCUAAUUAUGUCGUCUGAGUACAAAUAUAUCAAUCGUUAAAACUUUCAACAACGGAUCUCUUGGUUCUGGCAUCGAUGAAGAACGCAGCGAAAUGCGAUAAGUAAUGCGAAUUGCAGAAUUCAGUGAGUCAUCGAAUCUUUGAACGCAUAUUGCGCCCUUUGGUAUUCCGAAGGGCAUGCCUGUUCGAGCGUCAUUAUCAACCAUCAAGCCUAGCUUGUCGUUGGACCUCUUUUGCCACUGAAAUAUAUGUGGCAGGUCCGAAAGAAAAUGACGGUGUCGUGUUUGACCCUAGAUGCAACGAGCUUUUCAUAGCACGCAUUGAAGUGGUCGGGCGACCUAGUCUUAACUAUUUUUUCUAAAGGUUGACCUCGGAUCAGGUAGGAAUACCCGCUGAACUUAAGCAUAUCAAUAAGCGGAGGAAAAGAAACCAACAGGGAUUACCCUAGUAACGGCGAGUGAAGCGGUAAUAGCUCAAAUUUGAAAUCUGACCUUCACGGGUUCGAGUUGUAAUUUGUAGAGGAUGUUUCGGGCAAAGACUUUUGGUUUAAGUUUCUUGGAACAGAACGUCAUAGAGGGUGAGAGUCCCGUCUAGAACCGAUAGUCGCUGUCCAUGUGAAACUCCUUCGAUGAGUCGAGUUGUUUGGGAAUGCAGCUCAAAAUGGGUGGUAAACUCCAUCUAAGGCUAAAUAUUGGCGAGAGACCGAUAGCGCACAAGUAGAGUGAUCGAAAGAUGAAAAGCACUUUGAAAAGAGAGUUAAACAGUACGUGAAAUUGUUGAAAGGGAAGCGCUUGAGACCAGACUCGGUGAUAGGUGAUCAGCGGUUGCUUUUGCUCCGUGCACUUGCCUUUUACUGGGCCAGCAUCAGCUGCGACGGUGCGAUAAAGACUCAGGGAAUGUGGCUCUCUUAGGGGAGUGUUAUAGCCCUGGGUGUAAUGCCACCCUGUUGCGACUGAGGACCGCGC
This 1105-nucleotide ribosomal RNA is filed under the name uncultured fungus. RNAcentral's name for it is "eukaryotic LSU rRNA". The stretch from base 506 to 1105 matches the Rfam family "Eukaryotic large subunit ribosomal RNA", at positions 1 to 602 of the family's 3401-position model. Lineage: Eukaryota; Fungi. The record is from RNAcentral.